Molecule: ribosomal RNA, 552 nt
Filed under: uncultured bacterium
Lineage: Bacteria
Description: bacterial SSU rRNA
Rfam family: Bacterial small subunit ribosomal RNA
Source: RNAcentral
AAUAGAUACCCGGGUAGUCCACCCCGUAAACGUUGGAACUAGUUGUGGGGUCCUUUCCACGGAUUCCGUGACGCAGCUAACGCAUUAAGUUCCCCGCCUGGGGAGUACGGCCGCAAGGCUAAAACUCAAAGGAAUUGACGGGGACCCGCACAAGCGGCGGAGCAUGCGGAUUAAUUCGAUGCAACGCGAAGAACCUUACCAAGGCUUGACAUACACCAGAACACCCUAGAAAUAGGGGACUCUUUGGACACUGGUGAACAGGUGGUGCAUGGUUGUCGUCAGCUCGUGUCGUGAGAUGUUGGGUUAAGUCCGCAACGAGCGCAACCCUCGUUCUAUGUUGCCAGCACGUAAUGGUGGGAACUCGUGGGAUACUGCCGGGGUCAGCUCGGAGGAAGGUGGGGAUGACGUCAAAUCAUCAUGCCCCUUAUGUCUUGGGUCUUCACGCAUGCUACAAUGGCCGGUACAAAGGGCUGCAAUACCGUGAGGUGGAGCGAAUACCCGAAAAACGCCGGUACCCGAGUUCGGAUUGAGGUCUGCACUCGACCUCAUGAA